GGAACUGUGUCUGAAUAUAGAAUUACUUUGAUAGAGUAAAACAAAGAGGUUAAAAUCCUCUCAAUUCC
This 68-nucleotide transfer RNA is filed under the name Lygosoma quadrupes. RNAcentral's name for it is "tRNA-Xle". It matches the Rfam family "tRNA". From Rfam's summary of the family: Transfer RNA (tRNA) molecules are approximately 80 nucleotides in length. Their secondary structure includes four short double-helical elements and three loops (D, anti-codon, and T loops). The record is from RNAcentral. Lineage: Eukaryota; Metazoa; Chordata; Lepidosauria; Squamata; Scincidae.